Molecule: non-coding RNA, 136 nt
Organism: Brachypodium distachyon (stiff brome)
Lineage: Eukaryota; Viridiplantae; Streptophyta; Magnoliopsida; Poales; Poaceae
Source: Rfam
UCUAUACUUACUCCGUCCAAAAAAAGAUGUCUCAACUUUGAUUAAAUUUGAAUGCAUCUAUACACUAAGUAAUGUCUAAAUACAUCCAAUUUUUAAUAAAGUUAAGACAUCUUUUGUUGGAUGGAAGAAGUAAUAC